RNAcentral lists this transfer RNA (73 nucleotides) under Ignavibacteria bacterium. RNAcentral describes it as "tRNA-Ala". It matches the Rfam family "tRNA". Rfam says of the family: Transfer RNA (tRNA) molecules are approximately 80 nucleotides in length. The record is from RNAcentral. Lineage: Bacteria; Pseudomonadati; Ignavibacteriota; Ignavibacteria. RNAcentral also lists the same sequence under 1 other name.
GGGGCUAUAGCUCAGCUGGGAGAGCGUCUGAAUGGCAUUCAGAAGGUCAGGAGUUCGAUCCUCCUUAGCUCCA